AGUAACGCGUAGGUAAUCUACCCUUAUGACUGGGAUAACAUUGGGAAACUGGUGCUAAUACCGGAUAUCCUUUUUUGCUGCAGGGCGAAAAAGGAAAGGUGGCCUCUUCAUGAAAGCUACCGCGUAGGGAUGAGCCUGCGUACCAUUAGCUAGUAGGUGUGGGUAACGGCCCACCUAGGCAACGAUGGUUAGCGGGUCUGAGAGGAUGAUCCGCCACACUGGAACUGGAACACGGACCAG
RNAcentral lists this ribosomal RNA (240 nucleotides) under uncultured bacterium. Its description in RNAcentral is "partial 16S ribosomal RNA". It matches the Rfam family "Bacterial small subunit ribosomal RNA", at positions 109 to 334 of the family's 1533-position model. The record is from RNAcentral.